AUGGCGGGUGCAGCAGCAGCAUGUCAAGGUGUAUGGUUCGCAAGGCUGCUUGCAGAUCUGAUGGGAGAAGAAGUCCAACCAACACUGCUAAGAAUAGAUAACCAGUCAGCCAUUUCCCUCUCCAAGAAUCCAGUCCAUCAUGAGAGAAGUAAGCACAUUGAUAUCCGAUAUCAUUUUAUUCGGGAGUGUGUUGAGGAUGGACAGAUCAAGGUGGAGCAUGUUCGUACUAAUGAUCAGUUCGCUGAUAUUCUUACAAAGCCGCUUGGAAGGGUGAAGUUCUUGGAGAUGCGUGGCAGAAUCGACAUGCGUUCAUGUUGA
Molecule: ribosomal RNA, 318 nt
Filed under: Triticum aestivum (bread wheat)
Lineage: Eukaryota; Viridiplantae; Streptophyta; Magnoliopsida; Poales; Poaceae
Description: partial small subunit ribosomal RNA
Source: RNAcentral